GCUGGGCACGGUGGCUCAUGCCUGUAAUCCCAGCACUUUGGGAGGCUGAGGCGGGAGGAUCACCUGAGGUCAGGAGUUCGAGACCAGCCUGGCCAACAUGGUGAAACCCUGUCUCUA
Homo sapiens (human) is the source of this 117-nucleotide non-coding RNA. It matches the Rfam family "Metazoan signal recognition particle RNA". Rfam says of the family: The signal recognition particle (SRP) is a universally conserved ribonucleoprotein. The record is from Rfam. Lineage: Eukaryota; Metazoa; Chordata; Mammalia; Primates; Hominidae.